This 485-nucleotide ribosomal RNA is filed under the name Xylotrupes clinias. RNAcentral's name for it is "partial large subunit ribosomal RNA". It matches the Rfam family "Bacterial large subunit ribosomal RNA", at positions 1808 to 2563 of the family's 2925-position model. Lineage: Eukaryota; Metazoa; Arthropoda; Insecta; Coleoptera; Scarabaeidae. The record is from RNAcentral.
CAAAAACAUGUCUUUUUGAUUAUAAUUUAAAGUCUAACCUGCCCAAUGAGGAGUUAAAUGGCCGCGGUAUUUUGACCGUGCAAAGGUAGCAUAAUCAUUAGUUUUUUAAUUGAAAGCUGGUAUGAAUGGUUGGACGAGAAAAUAACUGUCUCAAUUUGAAUUAAAUUAGAAUUUUAUUUAUGAGUAAAAAAGCUCAUAUGAGUUUAAAAGACGAGAAGACCCUAUAGAAUUUAAUAUAUAUACAUAUAUAUUAUUUUUAGAAUUGAUAGUAAAUUAUGUGUAAUUAUAUUUUGUUGGGGUGAUAGAAAAAUUUAAAUAACUUUUUUUAUAUAAAAACAUUAAUGUAUGAAAAAAUGAUCCGUUAAUUACGAUUAUAAGAUUAAAUUACCUUAGGGAUAACAGCGUAAUUUUUUUUUAGAGUUCUUAUCGAAAAAAGAGUUUGCGACCUCGAUGUUGGAUUAAAAUUAACUUUUGGUGUAGGGGCU